GUGGAGCCAACCUUGAAAUACCACCCUUUAAUGUUUGAUGUUCUAACGUUGCCCCGUUAUCCGGGGUGCGGACAGUGUCUGGUGGGUAGUUUGACUGGGGCGGUCUCCUCCCAAAGAGUAACGGAGGAGCACGAAGGUUGGCUAAGCAUGGUCGGACAUCAUGCGGUUAGUGCAAAGGCAUAAGCCAGCUUGACUGCGAGAGUGACGGCUCGAGCAGGUACGAAAGUAGGUCUUAGUGAUCCGGUGGUUCUGAAUGGAAGGGCCAUCGCUCAACGGAUAAAAGGUACUCCGGGGAUAACAGGCUGAUACCGCCCAAGAGUUCAUAUCGACGGCGGUGUUUGGCACCUCGAUGUCGGCUCAUCACAUCCUGGGGCUGAAGUAGGUCCCAAGGGUACGGCUGUUCGCCGUUUAAAGUGGUACGCGAGCUGGGUUUAGAACGUCGUGAGACAGUUCGGUCCCUAUCUGCCGUGGGCGUUGGAAGAUUGAAAGGGGCUGCUCCUAGUACGAGAGGACCGGAGUGGACGCACCACUGGUGUUCGGGUUGUCAUGCCAAUGGCAUUGCCCGGUAGCUAAGUGCGGAAGAGAUAACCGCUGAAAGCAUCUAAGCGGGAAACUUGCCUUGA
This 623-nucleotide ribosomal RNA is filed under the name Providencia rettgeri. RNAcentral describes it as "partial 23S ribosomal RNA". It matches the Rfam family "Bacterial large subunit ribosomal RNA", at positions 2180 to 2802 of the family's 2925-position model. The record is from RNAcentral. Lineage: Bacteria; Pseudomonadati; Pseudomonadota; Gammaproteobacteria; Enterobacterales; Morganellaceae.